GAUGUAAAAGGUCUGAAGCCC
RNAcentral lists this microRNA (21 nucleotides) under Electrophorus electricus (electric eel). RNAcentral's name for it is "eel-miR-11052-3p". The record is from miRBase by way of RNAcentral. Lineage: Eukaryota; Metazoa; Chordata; Actinopteri; Gymnotiformes; Gymnotidae.